This is a long non-coding RNA of Homo sapiens (human), 319 nucleotides long. RefSeq lists it as uncharacterized. The record is from RefSeq and is a predicted model, not a curated record. The transcript is spliced from 3 exons. Lineage: Eukaryota; Metazoa; Chordata; Mammalia; Primates; Hominidae.
AAUUUAGGUCCCAAGGAUUCAUGAUCAUUAAACACUGAUUCAUCUUGAAAGAAUCUACAAAAUAUGCAGUGUUCAAGGAGGCAAAACAGAAUUAGAGACAAGACAGAAGCAUGUUCUCAUGUCAUGUUCUCAUGGAGAGUGGCUAUCUUUCUGAAUUGGAAUCACCUGAUAACCCACUCAACUAGCUCAUUGACUAGACGAUUAACAGCUGACAGAAACAUCUACCAUUUGGGGGGCUGCCCAUAUUUUCAGCCAAUUUUCUCUCUCAGCCAUACACCUGGAAGACUUGAUACACCUAUCAGCUCAGCACAGAUAUUAG